Molecule: transfer RNA, 80 nt
Filed under: Mycobacterium riyadhense
Lineage: Bacteria; Bacillati; Actinomycetota; Actinomycetes; Mycobacteriales; Mycobacteriaceae
Description: tRNA-Arg(gcg)
Source: RNAcentral
UGCGGUCGGGGGAAUCGGUGUUGGUGCACGCCGCUGCGGGCGGGGUGGGAAUGGCGGCGGUGCAGCUCGCUCGGUUGUGG